Molecule: transfer RNA, 88 nt
Filed under: Marinilabiliaceae bacterium JC017
Lineage: Bacteria; Pseudomonadati; Bacteroidota; Bacteroidia; Marinilabiliales; Marinilabiliaceae
Description: tRNA-Leu
Rfam family: tRNA
About the family: Transfer RNA (tRNA) molecules are approximately 80 nucleotides in length. Their secondary structure includes four short double-helical elements and three loops (D, anti-codon, and T loops).
Source: RNAcentral
GCCCGAAUGGUGGAAUUGGUAGACACGCAGGACUUAAAAUCCUGUGACCAUUGCGGUCGUGCGGGUUCAAGUCCCGCCUCGGGUACCA